RNAcentral lists this ribosomal RNA (252 nucleotides) under uncultured bacterium. Its description in RNAcentral is "partial 16S ribosomal RNA". It matches the Rfam family "Bacterial small subunit ribosomal RNA", at positions 524 to 776 of the family's 1533-position model. The record is from RNAcentral.
UACGUAGGUGGCAAGCGUUAUCCGGAAUUAUUGGGCGUAAAGAGGGAGCAGGCGGCAAUAGAGGUCUGUGGUGAAAGACUGAAGCUUAACUUCAGUAAGCCAUGGAAACCAAAUAGCUAGAGUGCAUUAGAGGAUCGUGGAAUUCCAUGUGUAGCGGUGAAAUGCGUAGAUAUAUGGAGGAACACCAGUAGCGAAGGCGACGAUCUGGGAUGCAACUGACGCUCAGUCCCGAAAGCGUGGGGAGCAAAUAGG